This 423-nucleotide ribosomal RNA is filed under the name uncultured bacterium. RNAcentral's name for it is "bacterial SSU rRNA". It matches the Rfam family "Bacterial small subunit ribosomal RNA", at positions 97 to 516 of the family's 1533-position model. The record is from RNAcentral.
GGCGGACGGGUGAGUAAUGCCUAGGAAUCUGCCUGGUAGUGGGGGACAACGUUUCGAAAGGAACGCUAAUACCGCAUACGUCCUACGGGAGAAAGCAGGGGACCUUCGGGCCUUGCGCUAUCAGAUGAGCCUAGGUCGGAUUAGCUAGUAGGUGAGGUAAUGGCUCACCUAGGCGACGAUCCGUAACUGGUCUGAGAGGAUGAUCAGUCACACUGGAACUGAGACACGGUCCAGACUCCUACGGGAGGCAGCAGUGGGGAAUAUUGGACAAUGGGCGAAAGCCUGAUCCAGCCAUGCCGCGUGUGUGAAGAAGGUCUUCGGAUUGUAAAGCACUUUAAGUUGGGAGGAAGGGCAGUAAGUUAAUACCUUGCUGUUUUGACGUUACCAACAGAAUAAGCACCGGCUAACUUCGUGCCAGCAGCC